Lagopus leucura (white-tailed ptarmigan) is the source of this 331-nucleotide long non-coding RNA. RefSeq lists it as uncharacterized. NCBI's taxonomy places the organism in Eukaryota, Metazoa, Chordata, Aves, Galliformes, Phasianidae. The record is from RefSeq and is a predicted model, not a curated record. The transcript has 3 exons.
AGGAAUCCUUUUCGGAGCACCUCGGCUUCACAGGCGGCAUCGUGCAGGGGCUGGAUCUGUACCGCGCCUCCGGCAAAUUCGAGCUGCUGGACCGCAUCCUGCCCAAGCUGCGCGCCACCAACCACAAGGUGCUGCUCUUCUGCCAGAUGACGUCGCUGAUGACCAUCAUGGAGGAUUAUUUCGCCUACCGCGGCUUCAAGUACCUGCGGCUGGACGGGACCACGAAGGCGGAGGAUCGCGGGAUGCUGCUGAAGACGUUCAACGAGCCGGGCUCCGAGUAUUUCAUCUUCCUGCUGAGCACCAGGGCGGGCGGGCUGGGCCUCAACCUGCA